CCCGAUGACCCAUAGUGCUGUGGUUCUACCUGAUUCCAUACCGAACUCAGAAGUAAAACGCAGUAACGUCGAUGGUAGUGUGGUGAUUCGCCAUGUGAGAGUAGAGCAUCGUCGGGU
This 117-nucleotide ribosomal RNA is filed under the name Mannheimia varigena. Lineage: Bacteria; Pseudomonadati; Pseudomonadota; Gammaproteobacteria; Pasteurellales; Pasteurellaceae. The record is from RNAcentral.